UCGGUCAGGGUCCGUUUGUGUAAUCUGGUGCGUCUCGUCACGUGACGUCGGAUCUGCGGAAUCUAUUCAUUCAUUCUGACUAUGAAGAGCCUGAUGAAAUCGUGAUCGGAGGACUAACCAAACCUCUAUUGAAUUCUUCCCCGAUUUGCUUUCUUGAGAAGGAUCUACACACGGGGCGAGUCUAACCCGAGGCCUGAUUAGAAAAUGAUGUUUACAAGAUGGCAUUAUCCGUUCGCCUGUCGAGUUCUCGAUCUCUAGCCAUGACCGGUGUUCGCAUGUCCCCAACUCAAUGGCAUAAACGACUCCGUCGCCGCUUCUCCAAAUACUUUGAAAGGCAUCUUCUGAAGUCUAGUUCUUCAGGCGUUUAUUCAGACUGUAGCACAAGUUCUUGAUGUGAGUCAUGUCGGUGUAAUAAAAGUCAUCCUCUUCCAUUCAAUGUUUCGAGUUUGUCUAGUCGCGGACCUCUUUAUCUGAUCUAUACUAAUGUGUGGCAUCCUUUUCAAAAUGAAGUCAGUCGAUAGGUUAUGUUUGACUAUCAUGUAAUCUUUGUUUAUCACUAUACAAAAUACAUUUGGUUUUAUCUCAUCAA
This is a long non-coding RNA of Syzygium oleosum, 589 nucleotides long. RefSeq lists it as uncharacterized. The record is from RefSeq and is a predicted model, not a curated record. NCBI's taxonomy places the organism in Eukaryota, Viridiplantae, Streptophyta, Magnoliopsida, Myrtales, Myrtaceae. The transcript is spliced from 2 exons.